AAAGCUCGUAGUUGGAUCUUGGAGCGUGUUCUUGCGGUCAUACUUAUUGUUUGUACUGCUUGACGCGUUCUUCUAUUUGGUUGCGUGUGCAAGUUCUCUUAGUUGAGUGCUGUACUCGACCGAAACGUUUACCUUGAAAAAAUUAGAGUGUUCAAAGCAGACCUGUUUGUGUCUGAAUAUUCGUGCAUGGAAUAAUGAAAUAUGAAUUCGGUUCUAUUUUGUUGGUUUUCGGAACUCGAGUUAAUGAUUAAGAGGGACAGACGGGGGUAUUAGUACUCUGCCGUUAGAGGUGAAAUUCUUGGAUCGGCGGAAGACUCGCAACUGCGAAAGCAUUUGCCAAGAAUGUUUUCUUUAAUCAAGAACGAUAGUCGGAGGUUCGAAGACGAUCAGAUACCGUCCUAGUUUCGACUGUAAACUAUGCCAGCUAACGAUCAGACAGCGUUCUCUACGACUUGUCUGGCAGUUUCCGGGAAACCAAAGCUUUUGGGUUCCGGGGGAAGUAUGGUUGCAAAGCUGAAACUUAAAGGAAUUGACGGAAGGGCACCACCAGGAGUGGAGCCUGCGGCUUAAUUUGACUCAACACGGGGAAACUCACCCGGCCCGGACACAGUGAGGAUUGACAGAUUGAGAGUUCUUUCUUGAUUCUGUGGGUGGUGGUGCAUGGCCGUUCUUAGUUGGUGGAGCGAUUUGUCUGGUUAAUUCCGAUAACGAACGAGACUCUGGCAUGUUAAAUAGUCGCGGAAGUAUUUUUGCUUACCGAUUUGACUUCUUAGAGGGACAAGUGAUUCUAGUCACACGAGAUUGAGCAAUAACAGGUCUGUGAUGCCCUUAGAUGUUCG
RNAcentral lists this ribosomal RNA (839 nucleotides) under uncultured marine eukaryote. RNAcentral describes it as "SSU rRNA". It matches the Rfam family "Eukaryotic small subunit ribosomal RNA", at positions 623 to 1483 of the family's 1831-position model. The record is from RNAcentral.